RNAcentral lists this ribosomal RNA (253 nucleotides) under uncultured bacterium. RNAcentral describes it as "partial 16S ribosomal RNA". It matches the Rfam family "Bacterial small subunit ribosomal RNA", at positions 524 to 776 of the family's 1533-position model. The record is from RNAcentral.
UACGUAGGGACCAAGCGUUGUUCGGAUUUACUGGGCGUAAAGGGCGCGUAGGCGGCUUUAUAAGUCGGGGGUGAAAGCCUGUGGCUCAACCACAGAAUUGCCUUCGAUACUGUAGAGCUUGAGACCGGAAGAGGUAAGUGGAACUGCGAGUGUAGAGGUGAAAUUCGUAGAUAUUCGCAAGAACACCAGUGGCGAAGGCGGCUUACUGGUCCGGUUCUGACGCUGAGGCGCGAAAGCGUGGGGAGCGAACAGG